AAUAUCCGAAAGGACAUAGAAACGAUUAAAAACUACAACAUAGAUUCAGUUACGACGCGAAUCUUAACGGUAACACAAUGAACGGAGGCGAACUAAAUAGAAAACUAUAUUAAUAAGCGGAUAAUUUAAAUAAAAAUAUACAUAUUAAAAAAGUAAAAAAAAAAAUAUUAUUGAUAAAAAAUAAAAAAAAAAUUAAAGUUUUUUUUUAAGUCUAAAAAAAAAUUUAAGUAGAAAAAAAACAAAACAUAAAUUUCCACGACUCUACCAGGAUUUUAACUAAAAUAGAAACGUAUAUAAUAAGUAUAAAUAAGUAUGUAUGUAUGUUAUGUGUAAGAUUUAAUUACAAUUGUGUGCAAAAAAUGCAAAGUGAAAUAGAAUUGUUGCAAUUUACAUAAAUAACAACAAUAAAAACAAAAAGAAAUAAAAAAUAUAUAUUGUAUAUAAUUAAUUAAAAAUAGCGGAAAUAGAAAGCUUUUCAAAAGAUAUUAAAUGCAAAAAAAUAUACAAAGAAAAUUUAAUUGUAUUGCAAUGCAAAAGUGUCUUUUCUUUUAAAAGAAUAUGUAUUAAAAUUUGCAAAGACAACAUCAGCUACAUUAUCAGCAACGAAACAUCAACAACUACUUACUCUUAAACCAGCAGCUGUUUGUAAGAAAUAAAUAAUAAAACUAGGCUGUCAGAACUAAACUACCAGGCAGUUAAGCAAAGCAGUUCAAGAUUUUCGUAUGAUAAUGAUAAUGAUUAUAAUAAAAGUGAUGGAUUCUAAUAAUAAUUGAUUGCGCCAGCAUAAUCAUACAUUUUAUGUGCAUCAACCGCACAUUUGAAACAAAACCGUCUUAUACUCGUGCAGCAUCUUUUAAAUAAAAUUA
Long non-coding RNA from Lucilia cuprina (Australian sheep blowfly), 866 nucleotides. RefSeq lists it as uncharacterized. NCBI's taxonomy places the organism in Eukaryota, Metazoa, Arthropoda, Insecta, Diptera, Calliphoridae. The record is from RefSeq and is a predicted model, not a curated record. The transcript is spliced from 3 exons.